GGGCAAGUGGCGGAAUUGGCAGACGCACUGGAUUUAGGUUCCAGCGCCUUAGGUGUGAGAGUUCAAGUCUCUCCUUGCCCACCA
This 84-nucleotide transfer RNA is filed under the name Serratia phage vB_SmaM-Kashira. Its description in RNAcentral is "tRNA-Leu". It matches the Rfam family "tRNA". From Rfam's summary of the family: Transfer RNA (tRNA) molecules are approximately 80 nucleotides in length. Lineage: Duplodnaviria; Heunggongvirae; Uroviricota; Caudoviricetes. The record is from RNAcentral.